Molecule: unclassified non-coding RNA, 442 nt
Filed under: Hevea brasiliensis (rubber tree)
Lineage: Eukaryota; Viridiplantae; Streptophyta; Magnoliopsida; Malpighiales; Euphorbiaceae
Source: RNAcentral
GAGAAGAGCGAAUAACAGUGGCAAGAGGUUAUUAUGAGCUAUAACAGUCAGAAUUAUUGUUGGAGAAAGCUUUGGAAUCCCGGUCAACCUUUCAUAUUUAACACAGUGGAUUAUCAGUUUGUGCCUUUGAUAGGGGUGAUUGGAUGUACAAGUUACUUACCAGCUUUAGUAAUGAGGAAAUUUGAUUGUAUCCAGUUCAUCCUGCUAAUCAAAGAAUUUUCCAAAGUUCAUUUCUACCAUGAAACUAGGAAAAUAGAUGAAUUGAAGACCUUACGCAAAUCUUGGGAAAGAGUAACCUUGAUGGACCGUUCACCUAAAAAGCCUAGCACGACAGAAGGCUAUCCUAUGUGGAGGGAAAAGAGAGAUAAAGGGUAUGAUAUUCCCAAUUUGAUGGGUCCAAAGAAUAAAUUACCACAGGUAAUAUAUGAAGAAGCUAGAGCUA